CAGCCGCCGCGGUAAUACGGAGGGCGCGAGCGUUACCCGGAUUUACUGGGCGUAAAGGGCGUGUAGGCGGCCUGGGGCGUCCCAUGUGAAAGGCCACGGCUCAACCGUGGAGGAGCGUGGGAUACGCUCAGGCUAGAGGGUGGGAGAGGGUGGUGGAAUUCCCGGAGUAGCGGUGAAAUGCGCAGAUACCGGGAGGAACGCCGACGGCGGAGGCAGCCACCUGGUCCACUUCUGACGCUGAGGCGCGAAAGCGUGGGGAGCAAACCGGAUUAGAUACCCGCGUAGUCCCUGUCUCUUAUAC
RNAcentral lists this ribosomal RNA (301 nucleotides) under uncultured bacterium. RNAcentral's name for it is "partial 16S ribosomal RNA". It matches the Rfam family "Bacterial small subunit ribosomal RNA", at positions 509 to 807 of the family's 1533-position model. The record is from RNAcentral.